This is a non-coding RNA of Xenopus tropicalis (tropical clawed frog), 119 nucleotides long. The record is from Rfam. NCBI's taxonomy places the organism in Eukaryota, Metazoa, Chordata, Amphibia, Anura, Pipidae.
GUCUACGGCCAUUCCACCCUGAAAGCGCCCGAUCUCGUCUGAUCUCGGAAGCUAAGCAGGGACGGGCUUGGUUAGUACCUGGAUGGGAGACCGCCUGGGAAUACCAGGUGUUGUAGGCU